RNAcentral lists this ribosomal RNA (454 nucleotides) under uncultured bacterium. Its description in RNAcentral is "bacterial SSU rRNA". It matches the Rfam family "Bacterial small subunit ribosomal RNA", at positions 28 to 507 of the family's 1533-position model. The record is from RNAcentral.
GAUGAACGUUGGCGGCGUGCCUAACACAUGCAAGUCGAACGGAAAUAGCAAUAUUUGAGUGGCGCACGGGUGAGUAACACGUAGCUAAUCUACCUCAAAGCGCGGGAUAACGUGUCGAAAGACAGGCUAAUACCGCAUAAGCUCACGAUCUGCAGAGGGUUGUGAGAAAAGGCUUAGGUCACUUUGAGAUGAGGCUGCGGCCCAUCAGCUAGUUGGUGCGGUAAAAGCGCACCAAGGCGACGACGGGUAGGGGACCUGAGAGGGUGACCCCCCACACUGGGACUGAGACACGGCCCAGACUCCUACGGGAGGCAGCAGUGAGGAAUAUUGCACAAUGGGCGAAAGCCUGAUGCAGCGACGCCGCGUGGGUGAAGAAGGUUUUCGGAUCGUAAAACCCUUUUCUGUGUGACGAGAACGGACGGUAGCACAGGAAUAAGUCUCGGCUAACUACGUG